UACGUAGGUGGCAAGCGUUGUCCGGAAUUAUUGGGCGUAAAGGGCUCGCAGGCGGUUCCUUAAGUCUGAUGUGAAAGCCCCCGGCUCAACCGGGGAGGGUCAUUGGAAACUGGGGAACUUGAGUGCAGAAGAGGAGAGUGGAAUUCCAUGUGUAGCGGUGAAAUGCGCAGAGAUAUGGAGGAACACCAGUGGCGAAGGCGACUUUCUGGUCUGUAACUGACGCUGAUGUGCGAAAGCGUGGGGAUCAAACAGG
This 253-nucleotide ribosomal RNA is filed under the name uncultured bacterium. RNAcentral describes it as "partial 16S ribosomal RNA". It matches the Rfam family "Bacterial small subunit ribosomal RNA", at positions 524 to 776 of the family's 1533-position model. The record is from RNAcentral.